RNAcentral lists this ribosomal RNA (468 nucleotides) under uncultured bacterium. RNAcentral describes it as "partial 16S ribosomal RNA". It matches the Rfam family "Bacterial small subunit ribosomal RNA", at positions 28 to 507 of the family's 1533-position model. The record is from RNAcentral.
GACGAACGCUGGCGGCGUGCUUAACACAUGCAAGUCGAACGGAAAGGCCCUGCUUUUGUGGGGUGCUCGAGUGGCGAACGGGUGAGUAACACGUGAGUAACCUGCCCUUGACUUUGGGAUAACUUCAGGAAACUGGGGCUAAUACCGGAUAGGAGCUCCUGCUGCAUGGUGGGGGUUGGAAAGUUUCGGCGGUUGGGGAUGGACUCGCGGCUUAUCAGCUUGUUGGUGGGGUAGUGGCUUACCAAGGCUUUGACGGGUAGCCGGCCUGAGAGGGUGACCGGCCACAUUGGGACUGAGAUACGGCCCAGACUCCUACGGGAGGCAGCAGUGGGGAAUAUUGCACAAUGGGCUGAAGCCUGAUGCAGCAACGCCGCGUGCGGGAUGGCGGCCUUCGGGUUGUAAACCGCUUUCGCCUGUGACGAAGCGUGAGUGACGGUAAUGGGUAAAGAAGCACCGGCUAACUACGUG